RNAcentral lists this transfer RNA (72 nucleotides) under Camelus ferus (Wild Bactrian camel). It matches the Rfam family "tRNA". Rfam says of the family: Transfer RNA (tRNA) molecules are approximately 80 nucleotides in length. Their secondary structure includes four short double-helical elements and three loops (D, anti-codon, and T loops). The record is from Rfam by way of RNAcentral. Lineage: Eukaryota; Metazoa; Chordata; Mammalia; Artiodactyla; Camelidae.
GAGGGUAUAGCUCAGGGGUAGAGUACAUGUCUCACAUUCAGGCGGUCCUGGGUUCAAUCCCCAGUCCCUCCA